AGAGUUUGAUCCUGGCUCAGGACGAACGCUGGCGGCGUGCUUAACACAUGCAAGUCGAACGAUGAAGUGGAGCUUGCUCCACGGAUUAGUGGCGAACGGGUGAGGAACACGUGAGAAACCUGCCUCGGAUUUUGGGAUAACAAAUGGAAACGUUUGCUAAUACCAAAUAACGUCGGAGAGCUUCAUGGCUUUCUGACGAAAGGAAUUCCGAUUCGAGAGGGUCUCGCGGCCUAUCAGCUUGUUGGCGGGGUAAUGGCCCACCAAGGCAACGACGGGUAGCUGGUCUGAGAGGAUGGUCAGCCACACUGGGACUGAGACACGGCCCAGACUCCUACGGGAGGCAGCAGUGGGGAAUCUUGCGCAAUGGGCGAAAGCCUGACGCAGCAACGCCGCGUGCGGGAAGAAGGCUUUCGGGCUGUAAACCGCUUUCAGCAGGAACGAAAAUGACGGUACCUGCAGAAGAAGGAGCGGCCAACUAUGUGCCAGCAGCCGCGGUGAUACAUAGGCUCCAAGCGUUGUCCGGAUUUAUUGGGCGUAAAGAGUUCGUAGGCGGUCGAGUAAGUCGGGUGUGAAAAUUCUGGGCUCAACCCAGAGACGCCACCCGAUACUGCUUAACUUGAGUUCGAUAGGGGAGUGGGGAAUUCCUAGUGUAGCGGUGAAAUGCGCAGAUAUUAGGAGGAACACCGG
Molecule: ribosomal RNA, 687 nt
Filed under: uncultured Actinomycetes bacterium
Lineage: Bacteria; Bacillati; Actinomycetota; Actinomycetes
Description: bacterial SSU rRNA
Rfam family: Bacterial small subunit ribosomal RNA
Source: RNAcentral